UACGUAGGGUGCAAGCGUUAAUCGGAAUUACUGGGCGUAAAGCGUGCGCAGGCGGUUUUGUAAGUUUGUCGUGAAAGCCCCGGGCUCAACCUGGGAAUUGCGGUUGAAACUGGCGAACUAGAAUCUGGCAGAGGGGGGUGGAAUUCCACGUGUAGCAGUGAAAUGCGUAGAGAUGUGGAGGAACACCGAUGGCGAAGGCAGCCCCCUGGGCUGAGAUUGACGCUCAGGCACGAAAGCGUGGGGAGCAAACAGG
Molecule: ribosomal RNA, 253 nt
Filed under: uncultured bacterium
Lineage: Bacteria
Description: partial 16S ribosomal RNA
Rfam family: Bacterial small subunit ribosomal RNA
Source: RNAcentral